CGACAAAACCUAGCCUUCCAAGCUAACGACGG
RNAcentral lists this transfer RNA (32 nucleotides) under Saponaria calabrica. Its description in RNAcentral is "partial tRNA-Gly". Lineage: Eukaryota; Viridiplantae; Streptophyta; Magnoliopsida; Caryophyllales; Caryophyllaceae. The record is from RNAcentral.